Long non-coding RNA from Larimichthys crocea (large yellow croaker), 365 nucleotides. RefSeq lists it as uncharacterized. The transcript is spliced from 3 exons. The record is from RefSeq and is a predicted model, not a curated record. Lineage: Eukaryota; Metazoa; Chordata; Actinopteri; Sciaenidae.
GCGACAGCGAGCAUUGAGGACGGAGCGAGACCAGAGCACGCUUCGCUCCAGACUGGACAGGUGGACGAACACCUAGACAAACACAUCAGCAUGUGAUAUUGACUUACACAGGAAGUUGUACCAUCGCUGGCCUGGUCUUCGUCCUUCUUCUUGCUCUUCUUCGUCUUCUGGUCUUUCUUUGAGUCUUCCUCACCUGUGGGUGGAGGAGCAUGUUGUUACCCAUGAUGCACCUGAUCUUUGAACCCAUUGGCGUCAUCUGACACACCGCUCUGAGGUUUCCAUGUGUUCCAGACCCUUCCAAACCUUCCCAGGCCUGGAGAGAGACUCACCCAGCGGAGCUUUGAGGAAGCGUCUCUCGAUGCCGU